Molecule: ribosomal RNA, 253 nt
Filed under: uncultured bacterium
Lineage: Bacteria
Description: partial 16S ribosomal RNA
Rfam family: Bacterial small subunit ribosomal RNA
Source: RNAcentral
UACGUAGGUGGCAAGCGUUGUCCGGAAUUAUUGGGCGUAAAGCGCGCGCAGGUGGUUUCUUAAGUCUGAUGUGAAAGCCCACGGCUCAACCGUGGAGGGUCAUUGGAAACUGGGGAACUUGAGUGCAGGAGAGAAGAGUGGAAUUCCACGUGUAGCGGUGAAAUGCGUAGAGAUGUGGAGGAACACCAGUGGCGAAGGCGACUCUUUGGCCUGUAACUGACGCUGAGGUGCGAAAGCGUGGGGAGCAAACAGG